Molecule: unclassified non-coding RNA, 250 nt
Filed under: uncultured Xylariales
Lineage: Eukaryota; Fungi; Ascomycota; Sordariomycetes; Xylariales
Description: sequence contains 5.8S rRNA gene, ITS2, 28S rRNA gene
Source: RNAcentral
AACGCACAUUGCGCCCAUUAGUAUUCUAGUGGGCAUGCCUGUUCGAGCGUCAUUAAGUCCAUUAAGCCUAGUUGCUUAGCGUUGGGAGCAUUACCGUAUGGUAACUCCUCAAAGUCAGUGGCAGGGUUACGGUACACUCUAAGCGUAGUAGAUCUCUUUCUCGCUUUUGCUGUGGCCGCGGCCGUUGCCAUAAACCUAUACUUUUUAGUUGGUUGACCUCGGAUCAGGUAGGAAUACCCGCUGAACUUAA